GUUUCUUCAAGAUCUUGUACCGGGUUGCAACAAGGUGACUGGGAAGGCAGUUAUGCUUGACGAAAUCAUAAACUACGUACAAUCACUACAACGCCAAGUUGAGUUUUUAUCGAUGAAACUUGCAACUGUGAACCCACAAAUG
Non-coding RNA from Camelina sativa (false flax), 142 nucleotides. The record is from RefSeq and is a predicted model, not a curated record. NCBI's taxonomy places the organism in Eukaryota, Viridiplantae, Streptophyta, Magnoliopsida, Brassicales, Brassicaceae.